GAUGAACGCUGGCGGCGUGCUUAACACAUGCAAGUCGAACGGAAAGGCUCCUUCUUGCAGGGGUCGUCGACUGGCGAACGGGGGAGUAACACGUGGGUGAUCUGUCCUGCACUUCGGGGGAAGCUUAGGAAACUUGGUCUAAUACCGGCAAGGACUUUUGGUUGGAUGCCAUUGUGGAAAGGUUUUACGGUGUGGGAUGGGCUCGCGGCGUAUCAGAUUGUUGGUGUGGUAAUGGCCGACCAAGGCGUCGGCCGGGAGCCGGCCUGGGAGGGGGUGCGGCCACAUUAGGACGGAGAUACGGCCCAGCCUCGUCCGCGACGCAGCGGAGGGGAAUAGUACACAAUAGGCGGAACCAUGAUGUAGCGCCGCCGCGUGGGGGAUGACAGCCUUCGGGUUGUAUUCUACUUCCGCUAUGGCCGAAGCGAAAGUGACGGUACCUGGAGAAGAAGCACCGGCUAACUCCGUG
This 466-nucleotide ribosomal RNA is filed under the name uncultured bacterium. Its description in RNAcentral is "partial 16S ribosomal RNA". It matches the Rfam family "Bacterial small subunit ribosomal RNA", at positions 28 to 507 of the family's 1533-position model. The record is from RNAcentral.